UGCUCCCUGACGGCGGCAGAGGCAGCCUGGCAGCAGAAGCAGAGUUCCGAGCAUGGGGUGGCGGCUCAUGGAGAAUGGAGUUAGAGUCCAGUAAACCAGACGUGGAAGCUGUUACUCAUCUCCAGAUAAAGGAAACACAAUCUUUGCAAGGCAAGAAGAGGGUAAAACCAUUUGGGGAGGAUUAUUUCUCUUCACCUAUACCCGAAAGGGAGGUCGUGAAGAAAGAGCACAGGCCAAGAAAGCUGUGAAAGAUAUUUGAGGAACAACUUGGAUGUGAACUGCCUGUCAGGAAAGAUGAUUGCCUGUUCAGGGAUGCUUAGAAAAAGCCAGGUCAAGAUGGCGGACGCGAGAAACGGCCUGCGCUGUGUUUACUUCAGAUUCUCCCGCCUACCGCCUGAGGUGCGGUACAUGAAACGUGCGUGCCCUACAAAGAUACCCGGUUUCCGCCAGAACAAAUGAACUCCAUGCAGCAAGACCAGGCCCCUAUGCCUCUGUAGCCGUACCACACAGGACAUCCUGAGAUCACAUUUACAGUCUGAAGACACACAACACACACCAUUCCCUGCCGUGACCUACUGUCAGCAGCCCGUUCAGAAGGAAAGAUGGCUGACCCACACUUUCGAAUGCAGCUCCGAGUGGCUCCUACCAAAGCUGAGAAUCCAGCUCUCAAAGGAGCUGUCGCCCCGGGGCCUUCCUCUGUUCCCAACUGACCCAAGCUGACUUCGAGUGGACUGGAAGGCACUUUGAAGACCAUCCCAGGACCCACAGGGGAUGGAGUUACUGGGUAAGGAGGGGCCUCUUCUCUUCAUAGUGGCAGCAGAGCUGUCUCGUCAAAUGGUUACUUGUCUUUUUUUUUUUUUUUAAAUAAAGUGACAACCUAGGGCUCCAGUUAUGAAUGCAGCUCAUUCUCUACCAUAAAUCUCUAGAAAAUAUCAAUUUCAUCGGUCAUCUACUGUAUGCUUAUAAUAUCUAAAAAUAAAAGUUUGAUAUAAAUAAAUGUCCUUUAGUGGCAGUAUACUAAAAGACCAGCCCCUUGGCCUUUGAGACAACCAUCAAGAUCAUUUUUAGCAAUACAGAUAGCAGCUAACUGUGACAACUGCAAAGAGCUGGUAUUGCAAAGUCCAUUUGGUCUGUCUUUUGUACCUGGCCAGUGAACUGCAGUCAUGGCCAAUGAUUCCCAAGAUGCUGACGCAAAUGGACAGAAUUUGGUCCAUAGCCAAGUGGCUCACAUUCCCCAAGAGCACAGAAAACUCUGCACGGAACCCACUAAUGUCCAGUACCAUUGCAAAUAAACAAUGGAGGGAGCCAGAAACAUGUGUACCAAUAGCAGAGACACAGAGCUGAGAGACAGAUCCACAGGACGAGCAACUAGACCAUGUAAAGUGCUGGAAGACCUCAGUCAUUACCUUAAAGCAGAAAAUUAUACUUUGAUUAUUUUUUCUUCAAAUCCCCAAACAUCAAGACAGUUCAAGCAAACAAAAUUCUAAGUUUUCUGGCAUCCCAGAUGUCAAAUUCGCCUUCAUUUUAGCUAAGGGGGAAAAAAAAAAUCAGUGCAUAUAUAGGAAAAUACGAAGAAACAAAGCUCUACCCUCAUUUCGCAAAUUCUGUCCAAUUGCAAGUUUAAAAAACUUCCUUUCCACUUUGGUGCUUUGAGGCAACAUGAGAACAUGAGACUUAUCUCCUGUCUUCCUUUUUUUUUUUUUCCAUGAAGUACAGGUGCGAAGUCAACGCUUUGGUCCUGAUCCCAGAUAGCCAGAGUGCCAAGGACGGACGGGCGCAGUGAAGACUGUCCACAGGUCAUGUCCAUCUCUGCAGAGAGCAGGGGUGUCACUUCCUGCGGAAGAGAGGAGACGAGACAGCAACCAUCCCUCACUAGAGGACUGUAGCUGUGCUGUGUGAAUGCCACAGCAGAGAAAAGAAAAUGGGUCCUGGUCUGCAGAGCUCAACACUUUCCACAGGAAUGUACUCAUGGCUUCCAUAUGUAAGUUUGAUAAGUCAGUGAUGAUUUUUGGGAGAACACCGCGAAUGUGUUUUUCAGUAAGCAUUGUGGAGAGCUGAGACACUCCACAAAGUGUAUGUGAAGCUUUGCAGUGGUUUUAAGAAGAUGCUCUUGGGUUCCGCAUCACCCCACCCCCACUGCGCCCCAAACUUCAGUCUUUUAUUCACUGUCUGUUCUGUUAGUGACAGACAGGCAACUGCUUGUCUGGCUGAGCCCAUCACUUUCAUGCACAACACCCCAAAUAAAGGUCAUCCUUUUAGAUCCCACAUCCUGGUCUGAAAGUAGGAGGUGCUGGUACAUUCUACCAAGGCAUCCAUCCAGCCUUAAACUCAUGAAGACGAGAUCAGUGUGAGGAAUUUGCUUUCUCCUGGCUCUGAUGUCUUUUCACUUUUGUUUCAGGUAUAACUUCUCAAAUCUGUCUGAACUCUGUCACUGUCUAGUCAACGUGGGGAGGGGGGUAGAGGCACAGGAGAAGGCGCUGGACUGUCAGAAGUGGUCAGCGUGAAGUACAUUGCCAUCCACAGCAGUUAAUGUGGUUACUUGAAGCAUGAUGGCUUUUUAAAAGUGGAGUAUUACGGUGGUUAGAAUCAGAAAUGUCCCCCACAGGCUCACAGAAUUUAACCCCUGAUCCCCAGUAGGUGGCACUGUUUUGGCUUCAAAACUUUUGGAAUUUUGCGUUCCAGCCUUGCAGGAGGAAGUAUGUCACCAGGGAUGGGCUUUGAGGACUCAGAGCCUCACCCUGCUUCCAGGCCACUCUUUUUCACUCCGUGUUUAUGGUUGAAGAUGUGAUUGCUCAGUUUCCU
Long non-coding RNA from Microtus ochrogaster (prairie vole), 2802 nucleotides. RefSeq lists it as uncharacterized. NCBI's taxonomy places the organism in Eukaryota, Metazoa, Chordata, Mammalia, Rodentia, Cricetidae. The record is from RefSeq and is a predicted model, not a curated record. The transcript is spliced from 6 exons.